This 225-nucleotide long non-coding RNA is filed under the name Elaeis guineensis (African oil palm). RNAcentral's name for it is "long non-coding RNA (EGUI_LNC082069)". Lineage: Eukaryota; Viridiplantae; Streptophyta; Magnoliopsida; Arecales; Arecaceae. The record is from RNAcentral.
GAUAUGAUCAUUUGGCCACUUCUAAUAAGUAUCUUUGAUUGCAUUAUGUGUGUUGAACAUAGAAACUUCAGGUGCUGGAUCCAUAAUCAUAUUUAGGAUCCAUUCAUGUUCUAGAACUAUUUGCAACUUUCGAUACCAACUAUCGAAGUUGGAUCCUAUAAAUAAGUCACUAUCAAACAGUGAAUAAAGCAACAAACAUUUAGCCAUAACUAAAAGAAAAACACA